RNAcentral lists this ribosomal RNA (643 nucleotides) under fungal endophyte. RNAcentral describes it as "eukaryotic LSU rRNA". The stretch from base 192 to 345 matches the Rfam family "5.8S ribosomal RNA". Lineage: Eukaryota; Fungi. The record is from RNAcentral.
GCGGAGGGAUCAUUAAAGAGUUCUAUAACUCCCAAACCCAUGUGAACAUACCUAACGUUGCCUCGGCAGGUCGCACCUACCUUGUAGCACCCUACCCUGUAGGGCCUACCCGGGAGGUGCGGGUAAGCCUGCCGGCGGCCCACCAAACUCUGUUUGAUAUUGAAUUCUGAACCUAUAACUAAAUAAGUUAAAACUUUCAACAACGGAUCUCUUGGUUCUGGCAUCGAUGAAGAACGCAGCGAAAUGCGAUAAGUAAUGUGAAUUGCAGAAUUCAGUGAAUCAUCGAAUCUUUGAACGCAUAUUGCGCCCAUUAGUAUUCUAGUGGGCAGGACCGUUCGAGCGUCAUUUCAACCCUUAAGCCUUCGUUGCUUAGUGUUGGGAGCCUACGGCAACGUAGCUCCUCAAAGUUAGUGGCGGAGUUGGUUCACACUCUAGACGUAGUAAUUUUUUAUCUCGCCUAUUAGUUGGACUAAUCCCCUGCCGUAAAACCCCCAAUUUAUCAAGGUUGACCUCGAAUCGGUUCAGACAAACUCGCUAAAUUGAAGCAUCUUAGUCAGCGAAGGAAAAGAAACCAACAGGGAUUGCCCUAGUAACGGCGAGUGAAGCGGCAACAGCUCAAAUUUGAAAUCUGGCCCUCGGGUCC